CGCGCAGGCGGUUGAAUAAGUCGAAUGUGAAAGCCCCCGGCUCAACUGGGGAGGGUCAUUCGAUACUGUUCGACUUGAAGGCAGGAGAGGGAAGCGGAAUUCCCGGUGUAGUGGUGAAAUGCGUAGAUAUCGGGAGGAACACCAGUGGCGAAGGCGGCUUUCUGGCCUGUUCUUGACGCUGAGGCGCGAAAGCCAGGGAGGCAAACG
This 207-nucleotide ribosomal RNA is filed under the name uncultured bacterium. RNAcentral's name for it is "partial 16S ribosomal RNA". It matches the Rfam family "Bacterial small subunit ribosomal RNA", at positions 568 to 774 of the family's 1533-position model. The record is from RNAcentral.